Molecule: long non-coding RNA, 2478 nt
Filed under: Homo sapiens (human)
Lineage: Eukaryota; Metazoa; Chordata; Mammalia; Primates; Hominidae
Description: HSALNT0016149
Source: RNAcentral
GAAAGUUCUGUUGUGAAUUGGUUCAAACACUUAGACUGCUUUUCUACUUCUAGAAAGAAGGCAGAAUCUAGGAUUUCUGCUCAGGGUGCACAUUACUGCAGAGGCGAGUGGCACUCCAGGAGCAUUUUGAUGACUUAUUUUUAUGUGUGAGCGAGUUGAUUGAAAAUCCUCCUAGCUCCCACUUUACCUGGCCAUUUGGUGCUUGACUUUUGUCUUUGAGUGGAGCAGAACUACUGAUGAUAAUGGCAGCAGUGACUUCAGUUAAAGAAUCCCAGGGACCACCUGAGACUUUCUGCAGCUCCGUGAUUUCAGCUUUAUGACCCUUAAUUGACAUUUCAAAAAGGCUUUCCUUACCAUGUGCUGAUUGAAAAAUAAAUAGUUUAGCAAAGAGAGGUCCUUCUUUCCAUGAAUUUGUCCCCACUGGCCACUUAAAUAGUGUGUGUUUAGGUGAAGUACCCUUUACUUCUGUGGGAGGAAACAAAGACUUUUUAAAACCACAUUAUUGCUGCAGCCCCAGAAGCUGAGAAGAAAGAGAACAGAUGGGUGGCUCUUCUCAAAGAAUGGUGCCUUCAUCUGGAUUUCCUCUUCUUAAACAUUUAUCUUCUUGUUCCUUGAAGGCUUUUAGGAAUUAUUAAUUCCACAGUGGCUGCAUGGUAACUGUUGAUUAGUGGUGGCUUAUUUUGGAUUUUCAAAGAAGUCUCUGAUCUACCAAAGCAGCACAGAGAGUUCAGAAACUAGGAGGUAUGGAGAAGGCCCCAGCUACUAACAUCAUUAGGAAUAAAGUUUUUGCUUUCCUUCAUAGCUGGAAAUCUCGCUCCUCUGGCUCAGAAAAAUAAAGGGCUCUACCUCUCUUGAGAACCCUCAGCACCUAGGACAAGGAGAAACUUAGUGCUUCCAGUGGAGGGGGCUGGUGACAUGAAGUCUACAAAGUUCCCAAGAGAGGACAAAACCUGAGAGCAUCAGCAUGUCUCAUGCAAACUUCCUCUGCCCCUGGAAAAAACUCUGGGGGAUCCAGGCAGGAGAAGAGAUAAGCUGUGGCCCACAUGGCUCCCUGGAGAGAAAGACAGCUCUGCUCUGGUUUACUGGGCUAACUGGAAGACAGCAUUCCCAGAAAGGCUAUUAUGGAGCAGAAUUGUAGCAACGGUGUUCUUUCCCCCAGCUAGUGGAGCUGAGCUUAUAAUGCAGCUCAGCCUUCAGCACAUGCAGAGAUCCACCAACAGAAAAAGAAGGGCCCUUCUAAUGUUUGUACAGUCCAUAAAUCAGUUCUCUGGUGGAGACAGCCUCACCCUUGUUCUUUUGGUGGUCUUUUCUUUUUUACCCGGUACCUUAACCAGGAACUGACUUGUCUUUGCUCACUUACCUUAACUUGAAAUAUUAUCUUAUAUGUUCUUCCUGUGGUGGAAGAUUGAUUUUUUUCCAUCAUUCUCUUCUCUAAUACCUCUUCUUCAUUAUUUUCUAUUGAAUGCCAGCUCCUUUCCCUCUUCUCAAGAAGAGGGAAAAGACACAUGUCAUAACCAUUUUCCCUAUUGAAGGAAGCUGGCAGUUUUAUAACGUAACUCUCAUUACAUUCCUAAGACAGAGACUGGGAUGGGUGUAGUGCAGUGGUCUUCAAACUUAUUUUUUAAACAUUCACAAUUUUCUUUACAAUUUUUUGAAUUCAUCUCUUAGUUACAAAUUCAUUUAUUUGUAAGUUAUACAUAGUUGAUUAUACUAAUCUGUGCAUUUAAAAACACAAAAAUAAAACAUUUAAAUAGUUGAGUUAAAUUUGAAAUAUAUAAUAUUAAUUUUUUAUCAAUUUUAGCUAGUCUCUUACAUCACUAUAUAUCAUCAAGGCAAAGUUCAUCAUUAAUAAUAAUGGAAGUAAAUGUGUAAUUGUUUCAGCUCACAGUGUAGCCGAUAAAGAGAUUGUUCUAGCAGGAAAAGUAAUAGGACUUCCACUUUUUGGUUGUUUGCUUGUGCUUGCUUUAUGAAGAGUCUCUUUAAUUUGCAAUUUCUCACAGGAAUCUUUUUAAGCCCCUCAUUCCUUUUAUGAUGGUUAAUGUAAUAAAAACUAGAUAAGAUCAUCUGUAAACUUAUGUAGACAGAUACAUGUACAUUAUUUUUGUCUUAAUAUUCAAUAUGCUGAAAGUGCAUAAUGUGUGAGGUUCCCUACUGUUAAUGGCCCUGGGCCAUAGAUUCACACUCAGGAAAGCAUGUGUACUGUAUGUGAAAUGAAUCCAUCUCAAAUAGGCUCUGAGUGUAUCAUUGCCAAUAUGCACAUUACAUAUCUGUAAACCUUAUAUUUAUUAUGUUAUAGAUACAAAUAAAUAAAAUGUUAAGUAUUUUCUUCCCAGUCCAAUGAAUCAUUUCGCACAUUCAUCAAUGUGUGGACAGCCUAUAUUAAGAACCAUCACCGGUUUAGUGAAUGUGUAAGAGACUCUUAGUGAUCCACCAUUAUCUCACUUGGAAACCCUAAAAACAACAGAUGCCAUAUGAUCA